This 164-nucleotide ribosomal RNA is filed under the name uncultured bacterium. Its description in RNAcentral is "partial 16S ribosomal RNA". It matches the Rfam family "Bacterial small subunit ribosomal RNA", at positions 355 to 511 of the family's 1533-position model. The record is from RNAcentral.
UAGGGAAUCUUCCACAAUGGACGAAAGUCUGAUGGAGCAACGCCGCGUGAGUGAAGAAGGGUUUCGGCUCGUAAAACUCUGUUGUUAAAGAAGAACAUAUCUGAGAGUAACUGUUCAGGUAUUGACGGUAUUUAACCAGAAAGCCNCGGCUAACUACGUGCCGG